RNAcentral lists this ribosomal RNA (497 nucleotides) under uncultured bacterium. RNAcentral's name for it is "partial 16S ribosomal RNA". It matches the Rfam family "Bacterial small subunit ribosomal RNA", at positions 28 to 507 of the family's 1533-position model. The record is from RNAcentral.
GACGAACGCUGGCGGCGUGCCUAAUACAUGCAAGUUGAGCGAUGAAGAUUGGUGCUUGCACCAAUUUGAAGAGCAGCGAACGGGUGAGUAACGCGUGGGGAAUCUGCCUUUGAGCGGGGGACAACAUUUGGAAACGAAUGCUAAUACCGCAUAACAACUUUAAACAUAAGUUUUAAGUUUGAAAGAUGCAAUUGCAUCACUCAAAGAUGAUCCCGCGUUGUAUUAGCUAGUUGGUGAGGUAAAGGCUCACCAAGGCGAUGAUACAUAGCCGACCUGAGAGGGUGAUCGGCCACAUUGGGACUGAGACACGGCCCAAACUCCUACGGGAGGCAGCAGUAGGGAAUCUUCGGCAAUGGACGAAAGUCUGACCGAGCAACGCCGCGUGAGUGAAGAAGGUUUUCGGAUCGUAAAACUCUGUUGGUAGAGAAGAACGUUGGUGAGAGUGGAAAGCUCAUCAAGUGACGGUAACUACCCAGAAAGGGACGGCUAAUUACGUG